Molecule: unclassified non-coding RNA, 584 nt
Filed under: Penicillium nalgiovense
Lineage: Eukaryota; Fungi; Ascomycota; Eurotiomycetes; Eurotiales; Aspergillaceae
Description: sequence contains 18S rRNA gene, ITS1, 5.8S rRNA gene, ITS2, 28S rRNA gene
Rfam family: 5.8S ribosomal RNA (bases 218-370)
Source: RNAcentral
GUAACAAGGUUUCCGUAGGUGAACCUGCGGAAGGAUCAUUACCGAGUGAGGGCCCUCUGGGUCCAACCUCCCACCCGUGUUUAUUUUACCUUGUUGCUUCGGCGGGCCCGCCUUAACUGGCCGCCGGGGGGCUCACGCCCCCGGGCCCGCGCCCGCCGAAGACACCCUCGAACUCUGUCUGAAGAUUGUAGUCUGAGUGAAAAUAUAAAUUAUUUAAAACUUUCAACAACGGAUCUCUUGGUUCCGGCAUCGAUGAAGAACGCAGCGAAAUGCGAUACGUAAUGUGAAUUGCAAAUUCAGUGAAUCAUCGAGUCUUUGAACGCACAUUGCGCCCCCUGGUAUUCCGGGGGGCAUGCCUGUCCGAGCGUCAUUGCUGCCCUCAAGCCCGGCUUGUGUGUUGGGCCCCGUCCUCCGAUCCCGGGGGACGGGCCCGAAAGGCAGCGGCGGCACCGCGUCCGGUCCUCGAGCGUAUGGGGCUUUGUCACCCGCUCUGUAGGCCCGGCCGGCGCUUGCCGAUCAACCCAAAUUUUUAUCCAGGUUGACCUCGGAUCAGGUAGGGAUACCCGCUGAACUUAAGCAUAUCA